RNAcentral lists this ribosomal RNA (253 nucleotides) under uncultured bacterium. RNAcentral describes it as "partial 16S ribosomal RNA". It matches the Rfam family "Bacterial small subunit ribosomal RNA", at positions 524 to 776 of the family's 1533-position model. The record is from RNAcentral.
UACGAGGGGGGCGAGCGUUGUUCGGAAUUAUUGGGCGUAAAGGGCGCGUAGGCGGUUUGAUAAGUCUUGUGUGAAAUCUUCGGGCUCAACUCGAAGUCUGCACGAGAAACUAUCUGGCUUGAGUGUGGGAGAGGUGAGUGGAAUUCCUGGUGUAGCGGUGAAAUGCGUAGAUAUCAGGAGGAACACCUGUGGCGAAAGCGGCUCACUGGACCACAACUGACGCUGAGGCGCGAAAGCUAGGGGAGCAAACAGG